RNAcentral lists this ribosomal RNA (484 nucleotides) under uncultured bacterium. RNAcentral's name for it is "partial 16S ribosomal RNA". It matches the Rfam family "Bacterial small subunit ribosomal RNA", at positions 28 to 507 of the family's 1533-position model. The record is from RNAcentral.
AUUGAACGCUGGCGGCAUGCUUUACACAUGCAAGUCGAACGGCAGCGCGGGCUUCGGCCUGGCGGCGAGUGGCGCACGCGUGAGUAAUGCAUCGGAACGUGCCCCGUCGUGGGGGAUAGCCCGGCGAAAGCCGGAUUACUACCGCAUACGACCUGCUGGGGAAAGCGGGGGACCGACAGGCCUCGCGCUAUUGGAGCGGCCGAUGUCGGAUUAGCUAGCUGGUGGGGUAAAGGCUUACCAAGCCGACGAUCCGUAGCUGGUCUGAGAGGACGACAAGCCACACGGGGACUGAGACACGGCCCAGACGCCUACGGGAGGCAGCAGUGGGGAAUGUGAGACAGUGGGGGCAACCCUGAUCCAGCCAUGCCGCGUGCGAGAAGGAGGCCUUCGGGUUGUAAACCGCUUUUGUUCGGGAAGAAAUCCUCUGGGCUAAUACCCCGGGGGGAUGACGGUACCGGAAGAAUAAGCACCGGCUAACUACGUG